AACGAACGCUGGCGGCAUGCCUAACACAUGCAAGUCGAACGAGACCUUCGGGUCUAGUGGCGCACGGGUGCGUAACGCGUGGGAACCUGCCCUUAGGUUCGGCAUAACUCCCCGAAAGGGGUGCUAAUACCGGAUAAUGUCUUCGGACCAAAGAUUUAUCGCCUUUGGUUGGGCCCGCGUUGGAUUAGCUAGUUGGUAGGGUAAAAGCCUACCAAGGCGACGAUCCAUAGCUGGUCUGAGAGGAUGAUCAGCCACACUGGGACUGGGACACGGCCCAGACUCCUACGGGAGGCAGCAGUGGGGAAUAUUGGACAGUGGGCGAAAGCCUGAUCCAGCAAUGCCGCGUGAGUGAUGAAGGCCUUAGGGUUGUAAAGCUCUUUUACCCGGGAUGAUAAUGACAGUACCGGGAGAAUAAGCUCCGGCUAACUCCGUG
RNAcentral lists this ribosomal RNA (433 nucleotides) under uncultured bacterium. RNAcentral describes it as "partial 16S ribosomal RNA". It matches the Rfam family "Bacterial small subunit ribosomal RNA", at positions 29 to 507 of the family's 1533-position model. The record is from RNAcentral.